This 245-nucleotide ribosomal RNA is filed under the name uncultured Desulfocarbo sp. RNAcentral's name for it is "partial 16S ribosomal RNA". It matches the Rfam family "Bacterial small subunit ribosomal RNA", at positions 524 to 768 of the family's 1533-position model. The record is from RNAcentral. Lineage: Bacteria; Pseudomonadati; Thermodesulfobacteriota; Desulfarculia; Desulfarculales; Desulfarculaceae.
UACGGAGGGUGCAAGCGUUGUUCGGAAUUACUGGGCGUAAAGCGCGUGUAGGCGGCCAAGUAAGUCGAAUGUGAAAUCCCUCGGCUCAACUGAGGAAGUGCAUCCGAUACUGCUUGGCUUGAGUCCCGGAGAGGGAUGUGGAAUUCCCGGUGUAGAGGUGAAAUUCGUAGAUAUCGGGAGGAACAUCAGUGGCGAAGGCGACAUCCUGGACGGUGACUGACGCUAAGACGCGAAAGCGUGGGUAG